AUCGAAUAUACAAACCCAGGCGAGGGCGAAUCGGGAUCGCUGUCGCUGGCCUUUUGCUAGGCAUGUGCACGCUUUCCUCAGUAGCCUUCGCCUUAUGGGCGCGGGGCGACCCGCGUCUUCAUAUACCUCUUCGUGUAGAAAGUCUUUGAAUGUUUAUACCAUCAUCGAGUCGCGACUUCUAGGAGACGCGAUUCUUUGAGACAAAAGUUAUUACAACUUUCAGCAAUGGAUCUCUUGGCUCUCGCAUCGAUGAAGAACGCAGCGAAUCGCGAUAUGUAAUGUGAAUUGCAGAUCUACAGUGAAUCAUCGAAUCUUUGAACGCACCUUGCGCUCCUCGGUGUUCCGAGGAGCAUGCCUGUUUGAGCGUCAGUAAAUUCUCAACCCCUCUCGAUUUGCUUCGAUAGGGUGCUUGGAUAGUGGGGGCUGCCGGAGACCUGGACUUUUUGGCUUAGAAUUGGGCUCCCCCUAAAUGAAUUCGCUUGGGGGCCGGUUUCCAAUAAUGCUGACCAAGGUUUUGGCGUGAUUAUGGACCCCUUAAGUGGAUGAAUGGACGGCCCCGGGCUUCCAUCCGGCCA
RNAcentral lists this small RNA (575 nucleotides) under uncultured Suillus. RNAcentral's name for it is "eukaryotic LSU rRNA". The stretch from base 215 to 369 matches the Rfam family "5.8S ribosomal RNA". The record is from RNAcentral. Lineage: Eukaryota; Fungi; Basidiomycota; Agaricomycetes; Boletales; Suillaceae.